UGCCGCGUGCAGGACGAAGGCCUUCGGGUUGUAAACUGCUUUUGUACGGAACGAAACGGUCUCUUUUAAUACAGGAGGCUAAUGACGGUACCGUAAGAAUAAGCACCGGCUAACUACGUGCCAGCAGCCGCGGUAAUACGUAGGGUGCGAGCGUUAAUCGGAAUUACUGGGCGUAAAGCGUGCGCAGGCGGUUAUAUAAGACAGAUGUGAAAUCCCCGGGCUCAACCUGGGACCUGCAUUUGUGACUGUAUAGCUAGAGUACGGUAGAGGGGGAUGGAAUUCCGCGUGUAGCAGUGAAAUGCGUAGAUAUGCGGAGGAACACCGAUGGCGAAGGCAAUCCCCUGGACCUGUACUGACGCUCAUGCACGAAAGCGUGGGGAGCAAACAGGAUUAGAUACCCUGGUAGUCCACGCCCUAAACGAUGUCAACUGGUUGUUGGGUCUUCACUGACUCAGUAACGAAGCUAACG
This 469-nucleotide ribosomal RNA is filed under the name Comamonadaceae bacterium. RNAcentral's name for it is "bacterial SSU rRNA". It matches the Rfam family "Bacterial small subunit ribosomal RNA", at positions 395 to 857 of the family's 1533-position model. The record is from RNAcentral. Lineage: Bacteria; Pseudomonadati; Pseudomonadota; Betaproteobacteria; Burkholderiales; Comamonadaceae.